RNAcentral lists this ribosomal RNA (442 nucleotides) under uncultured bacterium. RNAcentral's name for it is "partial 16S ribosomal RNA". It matches the Rfam family "Bacterial small subunit ribosomal RNA", at positions 339 to 795 of the family's 1533-position model. The record is from RNAcentral.
CUACGGGGCGCACCAGUCGAUAAUAUUCCACAAUGGUCGAAAGACUGAUGGAGCGACGCCGCGUGCAGGAUGAAGGCCUUCGGGUUGUAAACUGCUUUUUUUAGGGACGAAUUUCGUGACGGUACCUAAAGAAUAAGAGGUUACUAACUCUGUGCCAGCAGUAGCGGUAAUACAGAGACCUCAAGCGUUAUCCGGAUUUAUUGGGCGUAAAGAGCAUGUAGGCGGAUAUAUUAGUCAGAUGUCAAAUCUUCGAGCUCAACUCGAAAACUGCAUUUGAAACGGUAUAUCUUGAGAGAGUGAGAGACUAAUGGAACAUAUGGUGUAGCAGUGAAAUGCGUUGAUAUCAUAUGGAACACCAAAGGCGAAGGCAUUUAGUUGGCACUCUUCUGACGCUGAGAUGCGAAAGCGUGGGUAGCGAAUGGGAUUAGAUACCCGGGUAGUC